ACGAAAAAUAAUUUUUCGUGGCGUACGGGUGAGUAAUACACAGGAAUCUGCCUUUUAGUUCAGGAUAAAAUUCUGAAUAACAUAAGAAAACUUUUCGCUAAAAGAUGAGCCUGUGUAGGAUUAGGUAGUUGGUAUUUGGGUAAAGGCCUACCAAGCCUAUGAUCCUUAGCUGUUCUGAGAGGUUGUACAGCCACACUGGGACUGAGACAAGGCCCAGGCUUCAUUUGGAGCCAGCAGUGAGGAAUUUUGGACAAUGAGCGAAAGCUUGAUCCAGCAAUACUACAUGAGUGAUGAAGGCUUUCAAGUUGUAAAACUCUUUGGUUGAGGAGGAUAAUGACAGUACUCAACAAAAUAGCCCCGGCUAACUUCGUGCCAGCAGCCGCGGUAAUACGAAGGGGGCGAGCGUUAUCCGGAAUGACUGGGCGUAAAGGGUCCGUAGGCAGCAUUUUUUGUUAGAGGUUAAAUAAAAAGCUUAACUUUUUUCCGCUUCUAAAACGUAAAUGCUUUGAGUUUGAUAGGAGAUAGCAGAAUUUCACAUGGAGGGGUGAUAUCCGUAGAUAUGUGAAGGAAUACCAGAGGCGAAGGCGGCUAUCUAGAUCAAUACUGACGUUGAGGGACGAAAGCAUGGGGAGCAAACAGGAUUAGAUACCCUGGUAGUCCAUGCCCUAAAAGAUGAGUGCUCGUGCUUAGAUAUUUUUAGGCACUUAGUUAACACGUUAAGCACUCCGCCUGGGGAGUACGACCGCAAGGUUGGAACUCAAAGGAAUUGACGGGGGCCUAUACAAGUGGUGGAGCAUGUGGUUUAAUGCGACAAUACGCGCGAAACCUUACCAGUUCUUGACAUAAAAAAGAAAAAGUUUGAAAGGACAAUUUUGAAGAUUUUUACAGGUGCUGCAUGGGCUGUCGUCAGCUCGUGUCGUGAGAUGUUAGUUAACUCCCUUUUAACGGGCGAAACCCCUUUUCU
This 964-nucleotide ribosomal RNA is filed under the name uncultured eukaryote. RNAcentral's name for it is "bacterial SSU rRNA". It matches the Rfam family "Bacterial small subunit ribosomal RNA", at positions 66 to 1111 of the family's 1533-position model. The record is from RNAcentral.